AGAGACUUGCAGCUGUCUGGCUUAAAGACAAUGCCACUUUUCUUCACUUGACCAAGAUGAAAUUCAGUCCCACUCCAGGCGAUGAAGGUGAUCUGGAGGCCGUCAAAAAUCUUGAGUUUCCACCGUUACUUGUGCACCACUGAAACAAGACCACAUUUCAAUGAAGGCCAGGAGAUUCCCAAAGGACCCGACGGACAUCACUCAAGCCUAUCACAGGAAAAACGUGUCCUCACACCUGCUUGAAUCCUUUUUAUAUUUUGACGUUCAUAUCUGUCUCUCCUUGACCAAAAAACCUUGCCGCUUUAGAUUAAAACGAAAAGUGCCGGUAAAGUGUCAGUAUUCACACAAAUACAAAACACCAGAGACAUUAGACAUCCAGAAAGGAAAUGUAUUGAUUUUAUUGUAGUUGAUUUA
Cyprinus carpio carpio is the source of this 414-nucleotide long non-coding RNA. Lineage: Eukaryota; Metazoa; Chordata; Actinopteri; Cypriniformes; Cyprinidae. The record is from Ensembl.